GAUGAACGCUGGCGGCGUGCCUAAUACAUGCAAGUCGAGCGAACAGACGAGGAGCUUGCUCCUCUGACGUUAGCGGCGGACGGGUGAGUAACACGUGGAUAACCUACCUAUAAGACUGGGAUAACUUCGGGAAACCGGAGCUAAUACCGGAUAAUAUAUUGAACCGCAUGGUUCAUUAGUGAAAGACGGUUUUGCUGUCACUUAUAGAUGGAUCCGCGCCGCAUUAGCUAGUUGGUAAGGUAACGGCUUACCAAGGCAACGAUGCGUAGCCGACCUGAGAGGGUGAUCGGCCACACUGGAACUGAGACACGGUCCAGACUCCUACGGGAGGCAGCAGUAGGGAAGCUUCCGCAAUGGGCGAAAGCCUGACGGAGCAACGCCGCGUGAGUGAUGAAGGUCUGCGGAUCGUAAAACUCUGUUAUUAGGGAAGAACAAAUGUGUAAGUAACGAUGCACGUCUUGACGGUACCUAAUCAGAAAGCCACGGCGAACUACGU
Molecule: ribosomal RNA, 496 nt
Filed under: uncultured bacterium
Lineage: Bacteria
Description: partial 16S ribosomal RNA
Rfam family: Bacterial small subunit ribosomal RNA
Source: RNAcentral